GGCAGCAGCUAAGAAUAUUCCGCAAUGGGGGGAACCCUGACGGAGCGACGCCGCGUGGACGAUGAAGGCCGGAAGGUUGUAAAGUCCUUUUCUGACGGAGGAAGAAGUGCCGGAGGGAAUGCCGGCAUGGUGACUGUAGGUCAGGAAUAAGCACCGGCUAAUUACGUGCCAGCAGCCGCGGUAACACGUAAGGUGCGAGCGUUGUUCGGAAUCAUUGGGCGUAAAGGGCAUGUAGGCGGUCCUGCAAGUCUGGAGUGAAAUGCCGGGGCUCAACCCCGGAACUGCUUUGGAAACUGUGGGACUGGAGUCACCGAGGCGGAGCCGGAAUUCCAGGUGUAGGGGUGAAAUCUGUAGAUAUCUGGAAGAACACCAAUGGCGAAGGCAGGCUUCGAGCGGAUGACUGACGCUGAGGUGCGAAGGUGCGGGGAGCAAACAGGAUUAGAUACCCUGGUAGUCCGCACAGUAAACGAUGCACACUGGGCGUCUGGGCAAGAGCCUGGGUGCCGAAGCAAACACGGUAAGUGUGCCGCCUGGGGAGUAUGCCCGCAAGGGUGAAACUCACAGGAAUUGACGG
Molecule: ribosomal RNA, 574 nt
Filed under: uncultured rumen bacterium
Lineage: Bacteria
Description: bacterial SSU rRNA
Rfam family: Bacterial small subunit ribosomal RNA
Source: RNAcentral